Molecule: ribosomal RNA, 550 nt
Filed under: uncultured bacterium
Lineage: Bacteria
Description: bacterial SSU rRNA
Rfam family: Bacterial small subunit ribosomal RNA
Source: RNAcentral
UAGAGUUUGAUCCUGGCUCAGGAUGAACGCUGGCGGCGUGCCUAAUACAUGCAAGUCGAGCGAAUGGAUUAAGAGCUUGCUCUUAUGAAGUUAGCGGCGGACGGGUGAGUAACACGUGGGUAACCUGCCCAUAAGACUGGGAUAACUCCGGGAAACCGGGGCUAAUACCGGAUAACAUUUUGAACCGCAUGGUUCGAAAUUGAAAGGCGGCUUCGGCUGUCACUUAUGGAUGGACCCGCGUCGCAUUAGCUAGUUGGUGAGGUAACGGCUCACCAAGGCAACGAUGCGUAGCCGACCUGAGAGGGUGAUCGGCCACACUGGGACUGAGACACGGCCCAGACUCCUACGGGAGGCAGCAGUAGGGAUCUUCCGCAAUGGACGAAAGUCUGACGGAGCAACGCCGCGUGAGUGAUGAGGCUUUCGGGCCGUAAACUCUGUUGUAGGGAGACAGUGCUAGUUGAUAGCUGGCACCUUGACGGUACUACCAGAAGCCACGGCUACUACGUGCAGCAGCGCGGUAUACGUAGUGGCAGCGUUAUCCGGAUAUUGG